This 294-nucleotide ribosomal RNA is filed under the name uncultured bacterium. RNAcentral's name for it is "partial 16S ribosomal RNA". It matches the Rfam family "Bacterial small subunit ribosomal RNA", at positions 333 to 643 of the family's 1533-position model. The record is from RNAcentral.
GUCAUCCUACGGGGGGCAGCAGUGGGGGAUAUUGCACAAUGGGGGGAACCCUGAUGCAGCGACGCCGCGUGAGUGAAGAAGUAUUUCGGUUUGUAAAGCUCUAUCAGCAGGGAAGAAGAAAGACGGUACCUGAGUAAGAAGCCCCGGCUAACUACGUGCCAGCAGCCGCGGUAAUACGUAGGGGGCAAGCGUUAUCCGGGUUUACUGGGUGUAAAGGGAGCGAAGACGGUAUGGCAAGUCUGAAGUGAAAGCCCCGGGCUCAACCUGGGAAUUGCUUUGGAAACUGUUAAACUA